Molecule: non-coding RNA, 766 nt
Organism: Gasterosteus aculeatus aculeatus (three-spined stickleback)
Lineage: Eukaryota; Metazoa; Chordata; Actinopteri; Perciformes; Gasterosteidae
Source: RefSeq, a predicted model, not a curated record
AGAAGAAGAAGAAGAAGAAGCAGCAGCAGCAUAAAUAUCAGUGCAGUUGCUACACUUCUUUGUCAAAUAUUUAGAGGUUUGAGGAGAUCGAGAUGGCUUUGAGCGCUUCAUCCAGGAAGGAAAGACUCUACAAACUGGUCGCUGUAAGCGUUGGACUACUUUGUAUUCUAUAGGCUGCAGCAAACAUCGGACUGCGUCUUUCUCUUUAUGGUUGCACUGCAAGGAAGCUUGAGUUGGAGGCAAUUCUAAAGAAUUUGACUGAAAAUGGAGAAUAUUUAAAAGAGAAGCUGAGUAACUUUGAUCACUACCUCAAACAGGGAUGGGUGUAUUUUGACCAGAGUUUCUAUUACAUUUCUUCUUCUCAAAUGUCCUGGCAAGACAGCAGAGACGACUGUCUGCAAAAAGGUGCCGACCUGAUAAUAAUCACCAGCAAAGAAGAGCAGGACUUUGCAAGACAAUUCAAAAAACGCAGCUGGAUUGGACUGACUGACACGGAGACAGAAGGGACAUGGAAAUGGGUCGAUGGGACUGAACCGAAAGAAAGGUACUGGACAACUGGGGAGCCCAACAGCUACCAAGGUUCCAAUGAAGACUGUGGAGAAAUUAGGCUCUAUGAAGAUCAACAUAACUGGAAUGAUGUAGAAUGUAGUUACAAAAACUUCUGGAUCUGUGAAAAGGCUUUGGCUCAAUAACUUUGUAUCCAAACCCACCAUACUCAUAAAAAUCAUUAAUCAGUCCAUCAUUGACACAAACAUGUCACUGUAAU